CAACACUCACGAACCUAACUUCCAGAUAGGGUUAGGGUUAGGGUUGCUGCUACGGCCGCUCGUUCAAGAUACCGGAGGAUGUUUUUGUCUUAAUGUGCGGGACUAGAACGAUUAUUCAUUACCAGCCCUAGUUAGGGGAAAUGUGUCCUUGUAUCUUUGUAUGCAUGUCAGUAGUACAAACAUGAAUAACAUUGCUGCUUUUGGUGUUCAGGCAAGCACAUCUGUUCACGGUGCUAGGCUACAUCACGUAGCAUGCCAGACGGACACACCAAAGAUGUGCACACGUGGAACGCCGCUUUCUUUGAAAACACUGCGACCUAACCACAAAAGUACAGGCACACAGAAAACUGUGCUGCACUGAUGUCGGUGUUGGGACCUCAGCUGUAAGAGGCCUCUGGAGGAGGGAGAGGACAACCCAAGUUGUUCAAGUAUGGACUUCGGAAAGCCACAGGAUGCUGCCUAUGAUCCUGAUGACUCGAUCACAGUCUUGACUGAGUCAGCAGAUGUGACAUUACGUGGAUAACCUGUUGGAUCUCAUCUUUCACAAGGUUUUUCAGGACCCGGCCCCAUAUGUGAAUGAGGUGCUGAAGAUCUCAAAACCUGAGGAUCUCUCUGCCAAGUAUGAGAAACCUGACUGUUGUGUAUUGAUAUCCAGUUAAGUUUGUUCCCUCGGGGCAUCCGUAAUGCCCCACUGUUUACCUGCAUUGUAUGCUGGUUAUUUUCUGUCCUGUGAAACUCACAGUAAAGUACGCACGUCUUUUCCA
Platichthys flesus (European flounder) is the source of this 764-nucleotide long non-coding RNA. RefSeq lists it as uncharacterized. The record is from RefSeq and is a predicted model, not a curated record. The transcript has 3 exons. Lineage: Eukaryota; Metazoa; Chordata; Actinopteri; Pleuronectiformes; Pleuronectidae.